RNAcentral lists this ribosomal RNA (845 nucleotides) under uncultured bacterium. Its description in RNAcentral is "bacterial SSU rRNA". It matches the Rfam family "Bacterial small subunit ribosomal RNA", at positions 94 to 954 of the family's 1533-position model. The record is from RNAcentral.
AGCGGCGAACGGGUGAGUAACACGUGGGCAACCUUUCCUAUCGCGGGGGAUAACAGCGGGAAACCGCUGCUAAUACCGCAUGUCGUCACCGGCCGCAUGGCCGGUGAAAAAAGCAGCAAUGCACGAUGGGGUGGGCCCGCGGCCUAUCAGCUAGUCGGUGGGGUCACGGCCUACCGAGGCGAUGACGGGUAGCUGGUCUGAGAGGACGACCAGCCACACGGGGACUGAGACACGGCCCCGACUCCUACGGGAGGCAGCAGUGAGGAAUCUUCCGCAAUGGGCGAAAGCCUGACGGAGCGACGCCGCGUGUGGGAUGAAGUCCUUCGGGAUGUAAACCACUGUUGGUGGGGAAGACAAAUGACGGUACCCACCGAGAAAGCCCCGGCUAACUACGUGCCAGCAGCCGCGGUAAUACGUAGGGGGCUAGCGUUAUCCAGAAUUACUGGGCGUAAAGCGCGUGUAGGCGGCUGGUUAAGUGUGAUGUGAAAUCUUCGGGCUCAACCCGAAAACUGCAUUGCAAACUGGCCUGGCUAGAGUGCAGGAGAGGGAAGCGGAAUUCCAGGUGUAGCGGUGAAAUGCGUAGAUAUCUGGAGGAACACCAGUGGCGAAGGCGGCUUCCUGGCCUGUAACUGACGCUGAGACGCGAAAGCGUGGGGAGCGAACCGGAUUAGAUACCCGGGUAGUCCACGCCCUAAACGUUGCGAACUAGGUGUUGGUCGGAUUGACCCGAUCAGUGCCGCAGCCAACGCAUUAAGUUCGCCGCCUGGGGACUACGGCCGCAAGGUUAAAACUCAAAGGAAUAGACGGGGGCCCGCACAAGCAGCGGAGCGUGUGGUUUAAUUCGA